UGAUUAAGAAUGGGAACUGACAGCACAGCUGGGGACUGAUGGUACUGUGUGUGAGCUUAUAAAGUGAUGUACAGGCAGUAGGGAGGGGGCUGCAGGAGGCACCAGCACAGACACCUUCUCCCUUUGAGAGAUACAGUAGCAGAUCCAGUGCUCCAGGGGUGUGCUCAGGUCUCUGUUGAGCAAAGAUUGGCAACUAUACACAAACUUACACAAACUGUUGUCUCUGCUUGCAACUGAAACUGGAGGUGUGGAGAUACGGGCAAUAAAUGGGAAAUGCAAAAGAAAAUGGCAUCAGCAUCAAGCUGUGUUCCCCUGGGUAUGAUACUACAUAAAGAUAUUAGAGCACAAAUAAAACAUGUAUAACAUCAA
This is a long non-coding RNA of Columba livia (rock pigeon), 369 nucleotides long. RefSeq lists it as uncharacterized. The record is from RefSeq and is a predicted model, not a curated record. The transcript has 3 exons. Lineage: Eukaryota; Metazoa; Chordata; Aves; Columbiformes; Columbidae.